Molecule: ribosomal RNA, 493 nt
Filed under: uncultured bacterium
Lineage: Bacteria
Description: partial 16S ribosomal RNA
Rfam family: Bacterial small subunit ribosomal RNA
Source: RNAcentral
AUUGAACGCUGGCGGCAUGCUUUACACAUGCAAGUCGAACGGUAACAGGUUAAGCUGACGAGUGGCGAACGGGUGAGUAAUGCAUCGGAACGUGCCCGGUCGUGGGGGAUAACGCAGCGAAAGCUGCGCUAAUACCGCAUACGAUCUGAGGAUGAAAGCGGGGGACCGUAAGGCCUCGCGCGAUCGGAGCGGCCGAUGUCAGAUUAGGUAGUUGGUGGGGUAAAGGCUCACCAAGCCAACGAUCUGUAGCUGGUCUGAGAGGACGACCAGCCACACUGGGACUGAGACACGGCCCAGACUCCUACGGGAGGCAGCAGUGGGGAAUUUUGGACAAUGGGCGAAAGCCUGAUCCAGCAAUGCCGCGUGCAGGAAGAAGGCCUUCGGGUUGUAAACUGCUUUUGUACGGAGCGAAAAGGUCUCCUCUAAUACAGGGGGCUCAUGACGGUACCCGGAGAAGAAGCCCCGGCUAACUUCGUGCCAGCCGCCGCGGUAA